Molecule: ribosomal RNA, 252 nt
Filed under: uncultured bacterium
Lineage: Bacteria
Description: partial 16S ribosomal RNA
Rfam family: Bacterial small subunit ribosomal RNA
Source: RNAcentral
UACGGAGGAUGCGAGUGUUAUCCGGAUUUAUUGGGUUUAAAGGGUGCGUAGGCGGAAUAUCAAGUCAGCGGUAAAAAUUCGGGGCUCAACCCCGUCGUGCCGUUGAAACUGAUGUUCUUGAGUGGGCGAGAAGUAUGCGGAAUGCGUGGUGUAGCGGUGAAAUGCAUAGAUAUCACGCAGAACUCCGAUUGCGAAGGCAGCAUACCGGCGCCCAACUGACGCUGAAGCACGAAAGCGUGGGUAUCGAACAGG